UUCUCCUUCGUGAGCAAUGUCAUGGAUGGUGGGUGUUGCUGUGGCCUCUCCACUGCUGUGCAGCCUGCUGACCUGGAGAGAGU
Molecule: microRNA precursor, 83 nt
Filed under: Eptesicus fuscus (big brown bat)
Lineage: Eukaryota; Metazoa; Chordata; Mammalia; Chiroptera; Vespertilionidae
Description: microRNA efu-mir-9299 precursor
Source: miRBase by way of RNAcentral